Molecule: ribosomal RNA, 777 nt
Filed under: uncultured Neocallimastigales
Lineage: Eukaryota; Fungi; Neocallimastigomycota; Neocallimastigomycetes; Neocallimastigales
Description: partial large subunit ribosomal RNA
Rfam family: Eukaryotic large subunit ribosomal RNA
Source: RNAcentral
UACGACUACAUAUCAGGCAUAUCAAUAAGCGGAGGAAAAGAAACUAACUAGGAUUCCCUUAGUAACGGCGAGUGAAGCGGGAAGAGCUCAAGUUUGAAAUCUUCAAGGUUCUACCUUGACGAAUUGUAGUUUAAAGAAGUGUUUUCUGUUAGUGGAGUGGCUAAAAGUUCUUUGGAAUAGGACAUCAUAGAGGGUGAGAAUCCCGUAUUUGAUCAUUCCUUCUUAGCUUUGUGAUACACUUUCAAAGAGUCGGAUUGUUUGGGAAUGCAGUCCAAAAUGGGUGGUAAAUUUCAUCUAAAGCUAAAUAUUGGCGAGAGACCGAUAGCGAACAAGUACCGUGAGGGAAAGAUGAAAAGAACUUUGAAAAGAGAGUUAAACAGUACGUGAAAUUGUCAAAAGGGAAGCGUUUGACACCAGUGUUGUUUUUCCGAAAAUCAAUUAAUGAUGGUUUGAUUUUGAGGAGUUAUGACUUCAUCAGCUAUGCUCCUUUCUUUAUGUACUUUGCUGAAUGCACUUUUCGUUAACAAGUCAACAUCAGUUUCUUUUGUUGUAAAAGAGUAUGAGGAAGGUGGCUUUCUUUUCGGAGAAAGUGUUUAUAGCCUUGUACUUCUGCAAUCGGAGAGAUUGAGGUCUGCAGCGUAGAUCCUUCGGGAUUAGAUACACUUGUGCUAAGUUAUAGCUUUUCAUAGACAACUUGUUGAUUAUGAUUAGUCUUGUAACUUACUCGCUUAUGCUAAUUUUACCUACGCUUAGGAUGUUGACGCGCGUGUGUGCGUG